RNAcentral lists this transfer RNA (87 nucleotides) under Candidatus Woesearchaeota archaeon. RNAcentral describes it as "tRNA-Leu". It matches the Rfam family "tRNA". From Rfam's summary of the family: Transfer RNA (tRNA) molecules are approximately 80 nucleotides in length. Their secondary structure includes four short double-helical elements and three loops (D, anti-codon, and T loops). The record is from RNAcentral. Lineage: Archaea; Nanobdellati; Candidatus Woesearchaeota.
GCCGCGGUGACGGAAUCGGUAGACGUGAUGGCCUCAAAAGCCAUUGGGAGUAAUCCCGUGAGAGUUCGAGUCUCUCCCGCGGCACCA